UUAAGUUUGAUUUUUGUUUGGGACGGGCUUCAAGCAACUGUGAUUUUUUUUGAACUUGUGUAGUGGGCAAUUGUGCGGGACCUUGUGUUUUGUCGUUUGUAUAAUUUUUGUACCAGAAUAAUCGGAUAGUCUUUUAAAAAUUUGGACUUUUGCCGGGGUUGAUUUUUGAGAUAUUUGUUAUUUUGUAACGUAGUGGUGUAAUAUUGGUUUUUUUUUGUUUUUUCAGAGGUCAGUAAAUUUGAGGAGUAAACCAGAUUAGAACCUGGGUAACCAAAAUUAUAAGUCAGGAGUAGAGUGAUAUUUAAACUGAAGAAAUAUUGGCAGGCUGAUAAAAUUAUUUUUGGAGGCUGAAGUGUAAUUGACAGCCCUCAUUUAUUACUUGUUUUUAAGAAUUAUGUAUGAUUGUCUAUAUCUCUGUUGAGCUGGGGUAUAAAAAUUUGGAAAUUAUUAAGAUAGAUAUAUAUUUAUUUUAUAAAUUAAGAACUUUUGGCCUACGUUUUAAUAUUAAUUGGAGAUCUUAUAAAUUUUCUGAAAUUGGAAAAAACAGUAAAGUGAUUUUUAUAGUCUAUUGAAGAAUAUUUUGUCGCGGCACAAAUCAUCCAUCAACUCCUGGCACGGGAGUAAGUUGUAGUAAAGUAAAGAUAAGGGAACUGGUCUUUGGUGUUACUUUUUGU
RNAcentral lists this non-coding RNA (674 nucleotides) under Rhigonema thysanophora. The record is from RNAcentral. Lineage: Eukaryota; Metazoa; Nematoda; Chromadorea; Rhabditida; Rhigonematidae.